UCCAGGCCCUACGGGGCGCAGCAGUCGCGAAAACUUCACAAUGGGCGAAAGCCCGAUGAGGGAAUUCCUAGUGCUAGCACAUUUGUGUUAGCUUUUCCUUAGCGUAGAUAACUAGGGGAAUAAGGGCUGGGUAAGACGGGUGCCAGCCGCCGCGGUAAUACCCGCAGCCCGAGUGGUGGUCGAUUUUAUUGAGUCUAAAACGUUCGUAGCCGGUCUGAUAAAUCCCUGGGUAAAUCGGGUGGCUUAACCAUCCGAAUUCGGGGGAGACUGUCAGGCUUGGGAUCGGGAGAGGUAUGAGGUACUUCAGGGGGAGGGGUAAAAUCCUGUAUUCCUUGGAGGACCACCGGUGGCGAAGGCGUCAUACUAGAACGAAUCCGACGGUGAGGGACGAAGCCCUAGGUCGCAAACGGGAUUAGAUACCCCGGUAGUCUAGGGUGUAAACGCUGCAGACUAGGUGUUGGAGGCCCUACGGGGGCACCCAGUGCCCGAGAGAAGUUGUUAAGUCUGCUACUUGGGGAGUACGUCCGCAAGGAUGAAACUUAAAGGAAUUGGCGGGGGAGCACCGCAACGGGAGGAGCGUGCGGUUUAAUUGGAUUCAACACCGGA
This 606-nucleotide ribosomal RNA is filed under the name uncultured archaeon. RNAcentral describes it as "bacterial SSU rRNA". It matches the Rfam family "Archaeal small subunit ribosomal RNA", at positions 315 to 922 of the family's 1478-position model. The record is from RNAcentral.